This is a long non-coding RNA of Meriones unguiculatus (Mongolian gerbil), 6342 nucleotides long. RefSeq lists it as uncharacterized. The record is from RefSeq and is a predicted model, not a curated record. NCBI's taxonomy places the organism in Eukaryota, Metazoa, Chordata, Mammalia, Rodentia, Muridae. The transcript is spliced from 2 exons.
CGGCCGGCGCGUGCGUCAUUUCCGCUGGCCUCCGGUUUGGCUGUCUCAGUGUGGUAGGAGACGCUGUGCUCUGCCGCUGGUGUGGUCAUCUUCCUUUUUCUCAGUCAUUGACUUCCAAAUGUCGUAUACUCACUGGUGAUGCAUUAGUGGCUAUGAUGGCUUUAAGUGUAUUUCUACUUCUUGCAUGAGCAGAUGUUGCUGAUAUGGAAGUUUAUUAUGUCCUUGUGGGCAGUACUGAGGACUGAGACUGUUAAUCUGCUCAUUAAGAUCCCAUGCCAAAACAACAGAAGGGAUAUUCAAACAAGGAAAUGUUAAAAUUGAAACACAGGAAUUAAAAAUAAUAUGAAAACAGCUUUUCUAGAAGAUCAUAACUACUGAAUUCAAAGAUACUGAAAUAAGCAAAGUGCUUGGUGAAAAUUUCAAUAAUUUUCUGGUAAAAAUGAUCAGUGAUAUGAAGGGGAAUACAAAGAAGCAAAGAUAUUUAACUUAACACCUGGGAGGGAAAGCCAGCAAUGCUCAAGAGGAAAAGUCAGGAAAAUAAAGGAAAAAAAACAGCAAAAUGGAUGAAAAAGUUACCAACAAAAAAAAAAUUCAGCAAGAAAAUUGAGAUUUUUUUUAAAAGAAAAUAAUAAACCUAUUCCCCCAGACACUAAGCAAACCAAAAACCACCAAAUAGAAAUGUUGGAAAAGGAACAAAUGAAUCAAAAACACACUGAAUGGCAUUACCAAUACACUAAGCCAAGCAAAGGAAAGAACAGAUGGAGGAAAGAAUCAGGGAUGGAGGACAAGGCUGAAUGAAGAGUACAUUCAAACAUCAACAGAGAAAGAAAAUAAGCCUGACUGAAGUAAUUAAAAAUUCUGGGAUAUCCCACUCACAAAAUUUGACCAAAAUUUGUCCUGCCAGCAAGAAGUGCAGGGACAAAGAUGGAGCAAUGAUUGAGGAAACAGCCAACCAACAACUGGCCCUACUCGAGACCCAACCCAUGGGAGAGCACCAACCCCUGACAAUAUUGUUACUCUGCUGUGCUUAUAGACAGGAGCCGACCAUAACUCCUCUGAGAGGCUUCCCAGAGCAGCCAAUGGAAACAGAUGCAGAGACACAUAACCAAACUUUUUAGACAGAGCUUGGGGAGUCACAUAGAAGAGUUUGGGAAAUGAGGGAGCCAAGGGGUCAAGAACUCCACAAAGACCUACAGAGACAACUAACCUAGGCUCAUGGGGGCUCACAGAGACAGAACCACCAACCAAAGAGCAUUCGCUGACUGGUCCUAAGUGCCCUGCACAUAUUUAGCAGAUGCUUACCUUGGUCUUCAUGUGGAUUCCCCCAACUACAGUGGGGCCCUCUCUGACUUUGAUGCCUUCCUUCGGAUCCCAUUCCCCUAACUGGACUGUCUUAUCUGGCCUCAGUGGGGGAGGAUGAGACUUGUUCUGCAGCAACCUAAUGUCCCAGAGCAGUUGGAACCCAUGGGGGACCUCCCCCUUCUCUGACGAGGAGAAGCAAGAAUGGGGCAAGGAGGGGUGUACAAGGUGAGGGAUUGGGGGGAAAGGAGGGAGACUGCAAUCAAGAUGUAAAGUGAAUUAAUUAAUUAAUUAAAAAAUAAAAUCAGAAAAAAAUUCUGGGACAUGAUCAAACCUAAGCACACAUAGGAAGGAAAGUAGGAAGAAAAGGAAGAUAAACACUAAAGAUACAAUUCAGUUAAAUUAUAGCAGAAAACCUCCCAAAUUUAGAGAAACACACAACAUUCAAAUACAAGAAAUACGCAGAAACCCAAAGAGAUAUGACAAAGUUAAAAUUUCUCCAUACCAUGUUACAGCCAAGAUAUCAAAAAUAAAAAUCUAGGGCUGGACAGAUGGCUUAGUGGUUCAAAGUACUUGCUGUUUCUCCAGGGGACUCCAGUUCAGUUCCCAGUGCCCACAUCAAGGUGAUUCCCAGCUCCAGGGUAUCUGAUGUCCUUCUAUGGCCUCCAAAGGACACCCCCUCCCCUCACCCCGAAGGCAUACAUUCACAAGUACACACAUACACAUAAUGAAUCUAAGAAAAAAUUCAAGAUAUUUUAAAAACUGUAAGGUAAAAAUAAGUCACACACAGAGGCAGAAACAUCAAUAUCAGAUGUCUUAUCAGCAAUUCUAAAAGGCAGAAAGUAAAUACCUGCCAACCAAGAUUGCUAUUUCCAAAAAGGUUAUCCCUUAAAAUGGACAGACAAGGACCUUCCCUAUUCGUGGACUUGGAGAGGGGCAUAGGAAGAGAUGAGGGAGGAAAAGUAACUUUGGGAGGGCAGGAGGGAGGGGUCUACAGCUGGGAUACAAAGUGAAUAAACUGUAAUUAAUAUAAAAAUAAAAAUUUAAUUAAAAAAAGAACCUAGCAAGACAAGCACAGGGAAUACAAUUCUUGACUACAAGCCAGCACUGCAGAAGAUACUUAAGAGGAGUAGCACACAGAAAGAAGAAAGAAAGACUCUCUCAUAUGAACAUGUUUCAUAAGAGGAGCAGAUGAAUUAAUGAGAGCUGGGAAGGAAUCCUUCAUGUCCAGCAGCUCACUCCUGGUGCUAAGAGGAGAAAAAAGAAAAACAAACAAACAAACAAACAACAAUCUAUCUAACAAGAAAAAAAACCCAGAAAAUUACAGGAAUUAGUAAUUAUCUCAGGAAAAAAAAAUUAAAUGUAAAUAGUAUGCCUCAACUCAUCAACAGAUGCAGGCGAGCUGACUGAACCUUAAAAAAAAAAAAGAUUCAGCUAUCUGUUGUCUCCAAGAAACACCCACAGACUGAGAGUUAAAGAAUGAAAAACAAGCUGUAAAGUGAAUGGAAACCCCAAACAUGUUGGCAUAACUAUUUUGAUACCUGGUAAAGGAAAUAUAAACCCAAAGUUCUUGAGAAAAGCUGAAGCAGGCUACUACAUACUAGUAAGGGAACAAUUCUUGGAGAAUAUAUAAUAGUUGUAGGUACACAUACACACCUAAUGUUGGGGUUCCAAUAUCAUAAAACAAACAACUAAGGGACAAAAUGGACAUAAAGGUCAAAUGGCCCUGGACAAGAAAGCAGCGGGUAACUCCAAAAUGCCACCCUCACCUCUAGUGAGGUCACUAAAACUGACAACAAAACAAAACAAAAACCAAGAAAAUAUCAGUUGUAUUACAACAAAUCAAAUGAAAUUAAUAGAUAUUUUCAGAAUAUUUCGCCCAAGUAUACAUUUUUCUCAGUACCCACAAACUGAUCCCUCCUUAAAACAAAGUCUAGAUCAAAAAGCAAGCUUUAAAAAUAUUAAUAUAAUUAAAAUAAUUUCUUUUAUCUUAUCAGAUCACAAUGGAACAAAAGUAAAAACCGAGAGAACACAGACAGGCUGGGAAGCUGGACCAUUUGGCAAAGUGCUUGCUGUGCAAACAUGAGGACCUAAGUUUGGCCUCCUGCAUGUACAUUAGCAGCCAGGUGUGGUUGGCAUACUUGUAACUGUAACAUUGGAGAAGCAGAGAUAAGUGGUUCCCUGGGGACUUUCUGGCCAGCCAGCCUAGCCUGAGUGUCAAAUUCCAGGUUCAAGUGGCUCACUGUCUUGAGGAGUAACACCCAAAGUGGAUCCACACAUGUGAAUGCAUACCCCAUACACGUACAGACAAAGACAUACAUACGCACAUACACGUAAACACAGACACACACAAAGAGGGCCCACAGAAACUGCACAAAUCAUCAGACAUGAACAAAACACUUUUGAAUGACCAAUGGGUCAUUAAGGAAAUAAGGGAGGCAAUUUAAAGUUUCAUAGAAUCAUUGACCAUACAAGCACAGCUUACCAGUACAUUUAGAAUGAAGUAAAGAAAAUUCUAAGAGGUAAGUUUAUAGUCCGUACUAGGCUGUUUCUGCUACAACGACUCUAAAUAAAAUGUGAUAAGGGAGAAAAAUCUUUGCUGAUUACACAUUAGAUGGGAUUAACAACAAGGGCAUAGAAAGAACUGCAAAAGAACUGGACAGUUCUUUUAAAAAAUGCAUGUGACCAAAAAAAUACUUGAAAAAGUGUUUAACAUCCUUAGCCAUUGGGAAAAUGCAAAUUAAAACUGACAUUUACAGGAAAUAGCUAGAAUUGUAAACCAUUAUGUUAAGGGAAAUAAGUCAGAUUCAGAAAGAGUAGUAGUUUUCUUUUAUAUGUGGAGCCUAGAUUUAAAACUGUGUUUGUUCAUGUGUGUGUAUGCAUGUGUGGGUCUCAAACAAAGAAGACAGAUCAUGAGGGCGGAGGAAGACAUCUUAAGGAAGGUGGGAAAGAGGGCAACGGAAUACCCGUGAAAAGAGCAGAAGUGGAGACUUGCUGGGAGGAGGGAAGGAACUCGAAGCAGGGGUAGAGGACAGUGGGAGUCAGUGGGAGGGAGGAACAAAUGAGUGGCAUGGUGAAACUCUUUACUUUGUAUGUUAACCUUAAUAGUUAAUAGAAUGAUUUAAAAAGAUGGGUUUACCACAUUCCUUAUGGAAAAAUUUGAAAAAUAGCACAUAUAAAUAAAAUCAACUGGCUUAUUAGAGUCUAUAGUUGUUUUAGGAGAAUGAUGAUGAUGUGAAAAAGACGUUUUCUUCUUAGAACCACAGUCUAUAGUUACAUUCUAAACCUAAAAACAUUUCCUCGUGACAAGUUUUUGCACCUGCAUUUUAUGCAGGAUGUGUUAUGCCCCAUUUGUGGCAAACAAGCCUUCAUAGACUUGACAAUUUGCUAGAACAACUGAUGACUGCUUUCUUUCAAGAAACCACACUCUGGCUCAUGGUGUACCAGAGUAUCACCUAACUUUGAUUGCUAAACUCUAAGUCUGAUGAUUCACAAUCCUUGAUUCAUGUAACAUGUAAGUUUGCAAAACAAACAGGCCCUUUAGUCAGUCUGGUCCAGUUUGACAAAUGGUUGGCUGCAUAUCACAAGCAAGGCGAGUAGCGCCCUGCCACCAAGCUGCUAGGGUAUGAAGAAAGGUAGGAACAGACCCUCACGUUUAAACACUGCUCCCUCCCCUCUGUGAUCACAAGAGUCACAGUUCUGAGCACUGUUUCUGAGCUCGUGCUGCCCUGUUCUGCUCUGUUCAAGUGCUGUCCAACAUUUCCUUGCAGAGAGCCAGAAACCCCAAAUCUGCAUGUUCAGUGCUGAGCUCAGUGAUCACUUGCUCUCAGUUUGUUUUUUUCCAGGAUACCCAGCCUUCGUGACCAACGCUGUCUGAAGUGUAACUAAAAAGUCUGUUGGUCUUUCUAGUCAUCUUCCUCUAGUCAUCUUCCUCUUUAAUCCUUCACUCACAUCUGCCAAGUCAUUUCCUUCUGAGAUAUACGUUAGAACUCAUGCCAUUUACUAGAAUGUGAUCUUACUCACUUUACUCUUUCUGCGGGUAGAAAUUUCAUCUGCUUAUAAUGAUACUCUUAAUGCUUAUAUAGUUUGUAAAGAUGAAGAUGGGUUUUUGUUUUGUUUUGUUUUUGGAGACGGGGUCUUAUUUAGCCCAGGGUGGUGUCAAAUUUGCUGUGUGGUGGAGCAUGACCUUGAACUCCUCCUAAUCCUUCUGCCUACAUCUCACGUACUGAGAUUAUAGGUAUGCAACACCACACUCAGUUAAAAUGCUUUUAAAUCAUAUCAUGGCCAAGAGAACAAUUUUCAUCUAUUCAGAAAAAAAAGUUCCUGUAAUUUAAGUUUAAUCAGUAUCAUUUAAUUUUCACUGCCUUUUUUUUUUUUUUUUUUAGCUAUUUGUUCAAUAACGUUAUUUAGUACUUAUAUCUCAGAUACUUCCUCAUCACAAUAUGUGCUGUUAGGCUCUUGAAAUCUGACACACACUGCAGGACUUCCCAAGAAUCAGUCAGCCAGGCCUGAAGGCAGGAACAUUCUGACAACAAAUUCUGAACUCAUUCCAACAAACACUGCCACAGUGUUUUUAAAAAUGAGUGUGUGUGUAUUUAAUGUGCUCUACUCAAAAUAGCAUAUCUUCUUUCACAUCCUCGUCCCUUCUCAAUGAGGAAUCAAACCUCUAAAUCCCUUCCUACCAAACUUAUAACUAGGCAUUAAAAACAAAACAAAAGUUUUAACAAAUGCAUCAUGAGGUAUGAUUAUAAUUCUCAAGAAAUGCACUUAAAAUAGAUUUAUUAUUUCAUGUGUAUUUAUUUACACUUAUAUGGGUGUGUACCACAUGUGCGCAGGUGCCCACUGAAGCCAGAAAAGGGCAUUAGAUCCUAUGAACUAAAGUUACAGGUAAUUGUGAGCCACUGAGGUGGUGGUAUGACUGAAACAAACCAGAUUCAGCAGCAAACUCUCUGAACCACUAAGCAAUCUCCCCGCUUCUCAAGAAAUACACUAAGAAAGAAAGAGAAAAAAAAAAGGUAGAAAAGGAGAGGGAGGGAGAGAGAA